This 73-nucleotide transfer RNA is filed under the name Myxococcales bacterium. RNAcentral's name for it is "tRNA-Val". It matches the Rfam family "tRNA". From Rfam's summary of the family: Transfer RNA (tRNA) molecules are approximately 80 nucleotides in length. Their secondary structure includes four short double-helical elements and three loops (D, anti-codon, and T loops). Further hydrogen bonds mediate the characteristic L-shaped molecular structure. tRNAs have two regions of fundamental functional importance: the anti-codon, which is responsible for specific mRNA codon recognition, and the 3' end, to which the tRNAs corresponding amino acid is attached (by aminoacyl-tRNA synthetases). tRNAs cope with the degeneracy of the genetic code in two manners: having more than one tRNA (with a specific anti-codon) for a particular amino acid; and 'wobble' base-pairing, i.e. permitting non-standard base-pairing at the 3rd anti-codon position. The record is from RNAcentral. Lineage: Bacteria; Pseudomonadati; Myxococcota; Myxococcia; Myxococcales.
GGGCGGGUAGCUCAGUUGGUAGAGCGUCGCCCUUACAAGGCGCUGGUCGCAGGUUCGAGUCCUGUCCCGCCCA